This 423-nucleotide ribosomal RNA is filed under the name uncultured bacterium. RNAcentral's name for it is "bacterial SSU rRNA". It matches the Rfam family "Bacterial small subunit ribosomal RNA", at positions 30 to 457 of the family's 1533-position model. The record is from RNAcentral.
AUUGAACGCUGGCGGCAGGCCUAACACAUGCAAGUCGAGCGGAUGAGUGGAGCUUGCUCCAUGAUUCAGCGGCGGACGGGUGAGUAAUGCCUAGGAAUCUGCCUGGUAGUGGGGGACAACGUUUCGAAAGGAACGCUAAUACCGCAUACGUCCUACGGGAGAAAGCAGGGGACCUUCGGGCCUUGCGCUAUCAGAUGAGCCUAGGUCGGAUUAGCUAGUAGGUGAGGUAAUGGCUCACCUAGGCGACGAUCCGUAACUGGUCUGAGAGGAUGAUCAGUCACACUGGAACUGAGACACGGUCCAGACUCCUACGGGAGGCAGCAGUGGGGAAUUUUGGACAAUGGGCGCAAGCCUGAUCCAGCAAUGCCGCGUGCAGGAUGAAGGCCUCGGUGUAACUGCUUUGUUACGGUAACGAAACGGUAG